Molecule: ribosomal RNA, 346 nt
Filed under: uncultured rumen bacterium
Lineage: Bacteria
Description: bacterial SSU rRNA
Rfam family: Bacterial small subunit ribosomal RNA
Source: RNAcentral
UGGCUCAGGAUGAACGCUGGCGGCACGCUUAACACAUGCAAGUCGAACGGAGAUAAAGGAGCUUGCUUCUUUAUCUUAGUGGCGGACGGGUGAGUAACACGUGAGCAACCUACCUUCAAGCGGGGAAUAAUGGAGGGAAACUUCCACUAAUACCCCAUAAGAUAGUAUUUCCGCAUGGAGAAGCUAUCAAAGAUUUAUUGUUUGAAGAUGGGCUCGCGUCCGAUUAGCCAGUUGGUGAGGUAACGGCCCACCAAAGCGACGAUCGGUAGCCGUACUGAGAGGUAGAACGGCCACAUUGGGACUGAGACACGGCCCAGACUCCUACGGGAGGCAGCAGUGGGGAAUA